GUCCACGCCGUAAACGAUGUCGACUAGCCGUUGGAGACCUUAGAGUCUUUAGUGGCGAAGCUAACGCGAUAAGUCGACCGCCUGGGGAGUACGGCCGCAAGGUUAAACUCAAAUGAAUUGACGGGGCCCGCACAAGCGGUGGAGCAUGUGGUUUAAUUCGAUGCAACGCGAAGAACCUUACCAGGUCUUGACAUCCAGAGAACUUUUCCAGAGAUGGAUUGGUGCCGCAAGGAGCUCUGAGACAGGUGCUGCAUGGCUGUCGU
RNAcentral lists this ribosomal RNA (263 nucleotides) under uncultured bacterium. RNAcentral's name for it is "partial 16S ribosomal RNA". It matches the Rfam family "Bacterial small subunit ribosomal RNA", at positions 793 to 1055 of the family's 1533-position model. The record is from RNAcentral.